This 1120-nucleotide long non-coding RNA is filed under the name Gallus gallus (chicken). Its description in RNAcentral is "long non-coding RNA NONGGAT004581". Lineage: Eukaryota; Metazoa; Chordata; Aves; Galliformes; Phasianidae. The record is from RNAcentral.
UCCUUUCCAUACCUUCCAAGGAUUUUUAGGAUCGUGGGAUUUAUGGACCUGCAAAAUCCUCUGGAGAACAUCAGCCACCGACAAAACCAUCUGGAAAUUCCUGCUGUCUUUUUGCCCUGUCUUUCCUGAGUCACCGAGUCUUGGGAAGGAAGCAUCUCUGCUCUGAGGAUUACAGCAAAUCAGUUGCUUGCCGUCCUUACUGGAAUACCUUCCCUUUCAGUUGCUCAGAACAUAGCAAUUACUGAAGAAGGCAGAAGGAUAUUUUUUCCCUUUCACCGAGCUUUUGCAGCGCAGCAGUGGCUGUGUCCGGCUAUGUAGAUGGUUUCCACAUUCUCUACCCAAUUUCUUUUCCUGAUGUUUAGGAACUGAAUCAUUCUGUUUCCCUACUAGCCUCUGCUAAAGGUCUCGCUUGACUGCAAAAAGGAGAAAGGAGGAGUGUGUGCAGGGAGUUCAGGUCCUGCUGUGGCUUCUUGGGAGGUGAGUACUCAAACUUGCUUUAUACAGAAGACAGCAGAAAGCCACAAAAUUGGAGCCUCAGUAAUUUCUUUACACCCACCAUUUGCCAGUGUUCUGGAUUGGAAACCAACUGCAACAGCUACUGAGAGUCUCAUUCCUCCUCCACGUGAACCUCCUUCCAGGGAACUGUGAAAAUUCCCACUUCCAUCUCCUUCGCAUACUGGGGUUUCAUGACCAUUAAAACCCGUUCCUGGAACCAUGGGAUGGCCCCACAGCAUGCUUUUGAUCCAGCUCAGAUGUGGGCUUCUCCGUGGGAUGAGUGCCCAGCAAGUCCAGCCAUCAAAACCUACCUAGACCCUAUGGAGCUGCAUGCUCUGACUCAUCCCUACUGAAAUGUCCCCACACCCUGCCCCAGGGCUGUGCAUUCCUGGGCACUGGUUGCCUGUGCCUCAUGAGGUCUUUCUACCAAACUCAUCACUUUGGCUUGGUUCUGCAUCACCACACUGAAACUGUGCAAACUGCAAGCCACCAAACUGUACCUGUGAGCCACCUCACGGGGCACAUGUCCCACAGUGGCUUGGCUGCUGGACCACUCAGGGUGGGAUGCGCAACACACUGCAAGGAAUUUAGUUCAGCACUGGUGCUGGUAGAGCACGGAGCUGGG